CCUACGGGUGGCAGCAGUGAGGAAUAUUGGUCAAUGGACGAGAGUCUGAACCAGCCAAGUAGCGUGAAGGAUGACUGCCCUAUGGGUUGUAAACUUCUUUUAUAAAGGAAUAAAACGAGGCACGUGUGCCUUUUUGCAUGUACUUUAUGAAUAAGGAUCGGCUAACUCCGUGCCAGCAGCCGCGGUCAUACGGAUGAUCCGAGCGUUAUCCGGAUUUCUUGGGUUUAAAGGGAUCGUAGAUGGUUUUUUAAGUCAGUUGGGAAAGUUUGCGGCUCAACCGUAAAAUUGCAAUUGAUACUGGCAGUCUUGAGUACAGUUGAGGUAGGCGGAAUUCGUGGUGUAGCGGUGAAAUGCUUAGAUAUCACGAAGAACCCCGAUUGCGAAGGCAGCUUACUAAACUGUGACUGACAUUGAUGCUCGAAAGUGUGGGUAUCAAACAGGAUUAGAUACCCGGGUAGUC
This 460-nucleotide ribosomal RNA is filed under the name uncultured bacterium. RNAcentral's name for it is "partial 16S ribosomal RNA". It matches the Rfam family "Bacterial small subunit ribosomal RNA", at positions 338 to 795 of the family's 1533-position model. The record is from RNAcentral.